Molecule: ribosomal RNA, 429 nt
Filed under: Chloroflexota bacterium
Lineage: Bacteria; Bacillati; Chloroflexota
Description: Chloroflexi bacterium partial 16S ribosomal RNA
Rfam family: Bacterial small subunit ribosomal RNA
Source: RNAcentral
UGGGGAAUAUUGCACAAUGGGCGCAAGCCUGAUGCAGCCAUGCCGCGUGUAUGAAGAAGGCCUUCGGGUUGUAAAGUACUUUCAGUCGGGAGGAAGGUGUCAAGGUUAAUAACCUUGGCAAUUGACGUUACCGACAGAAGAAGCACCGGCUAACUCCGUGCCAGCAGCCGCGGUAAUACGGAGGGUGCAAGCGUUAAUCGGAAUUACUGGGCGUAAAGCGCACGCAGGCGGUUGAUUGAGUCAGAUGUGAAAUCCCCGGGCUUAACCCGGGAAUUGCAUCUGAUAAUGGUCAGCUAGAGUCUUGUAGAGGGGGGUAGAAUUCCAUGUGUAGCGGUGAAAUGCGUAGAGAUGUGGAGGAAUACCGGUGGCGAAGGCGGCCCCCUGGACAAAGACUGACGCUCAGGUGCGAAAGCGUGGGGAGCAAACAGG